AAGCCGGAUUAAUACCGCAUACGCCCUACGGGGGAAAGGGGGGGAUCGUAAGACCUCUCACUAUUGGAGCGGCCGAUGGCUGAUUAGCUAGUUGGUGGGGUAAAGGCCUACCAAGGCAACGAUCAGUAGCUGGUCUGAGAGGACGACCAGCCACACUGGGACUGAGACACGGCCCAGACUCCUACGGGAGGCAGCAGUGGGGAAUUUUGGACAAUGGGCGAAAGCCUGAUCCAGCAAUGCCGCGUGUGCGAAGAAGGCCUUCGGGUUGUAAAGCACUUUUGUCAGGGAAGAAAUCGUUCGGGCUAAUACCUCGGGCAGUUGACGGUACCUGAAGAAUAAGCACCGGCUAACUACGUGCCAGCAGCCGCGGUAAUACGUAGGGUGCAAGCGUUAAUCGGAAUUACUGGGCGUAAAGCGUGCGCAGGUGGUUCGUUAAGACAGUUGUGAAAUCCCCGGGCUUAACCUGGGAACUGCAAUUGUGACUGGCGGACUANAGUUUGGCAGAGGGGGGUGGAAUUCCUGGUGUAGCAGUGAAAUGCGUAGAUAUCAGGAGGAACACCGAUGGCGAAGGCAGCCCCCUGGGGCCAUGACUGACACCUCAUGCACG
This 607-nucleotide ribosomal RNA is filed under the name Burkholderiales bacterium. RNAcentral describes it as "bacterial SSU rRNA". It matches the Rfam family "Bacterial small subunit ribosomal RNA", at positions 155 to 755 of the family's 1533-position model. The record is from RNAcentral. Lineage: Bacteria; Pseudomonadati; Pseudomonadota; Betaproteobacteria; Burkholderiales.